Saccostrea cuccullata (small rock oyster) is the source of this 455-nucleotide long non-coding RNA. RefSeq lists it as uncharacterized. Lineage: Eukaryota; Metazoa; Mollusca; Bivalvia; Ostreida; Ostreidae. The record is from RefSeq and is a predicted model, not a curated record. The transcript has 3 exons.
UAAAAGGUUUUAAGUGUACUGGAGCGGAAAGAACAUUAGCUGGAUGUAAAUUUGGAACCAUUGGCCUAGGAGACUGCAGUAAUACUGGUGCUGUAGAAGUGGAAUGUAAUACUGAAGUGAAAAAGCUAUUUCGACUUGUCAAUGGGACUUCAACAAAUGAAGGGCGGGUAGAGGUACUUAUCAACGGGGAGUGGGGCACAGUUUGUGAUGAUUCCUGGGACGUUAAGGAUGCAACUGUCGUUUGCAGAACUUUAGGAUUUUCAGGAAUCUCAACUGCUCACCAAGGACGUCAUUUUGCUGGAGGCUCGGGAACAAUUUGGUUGGAUGACGUAAAGUGUGAUGGAACCGAGGCUUCUCUAUUUGAUUGUACUCACAACGGGUACGGGAAGGCAAAUUGUGGUCACUAUGAAGAUGCCGGUGUAACAUGUACUUAAUUCCUAUAACGAACAAACAAA